RNAcentral lists this ribosomal RNA (253 nucleotides) under uncultured bacterium. Its description in RNAcentral is "partial 16S ribosomal RNA". It matches the Rfam family "Bacterial small subunit ribosomal RNA", at positions 524 to 776 of the family's 1533-position model. The record is from RNAcentral.
GACGAACCGUGCGAACGUUGUUCGGAAUCACUGGGCUUAAAGGGCGCGUAGGCGGGCCCUCAAGUCCGGGGUGAAAUCCUCCCGCUUAACGGGAGAAGAGCCUCGGAGACUGAGGGCCUCGAGGGAGGUAGGGGCGUGCGGAACUAUGGGUGGAGCGGUGAAAUGCAUUGAUAUCCAUAGGAACUCCGGUGGCGAAGGCGGCUCACUGGCCCGGUACUGACGCUGAGGUGCGAAAGCGUGGGGAGCAAACAGG